Coffea arabica (coffee) is the source of this 772-nucleotide long non-coding RNA. RefSeq lists it as uncharacterized. The record is from RefSeq and is a predicted model, not a curated record. Lineage: Eukaryota; Viridiplantae; Streptophyta; Magnoliopsida; Gentianales; Rubiaceae.
AUUAAAAUUCAAAAUAUAAUAGGAGUAUUAUUGUCUUUCCAGAUAAUUCUAAAAAAAAAUUCAAAUAUUAGUCUAAUUAGAUCAAAGCUUCAAGCAACUUUAGAAUUUUGUCCGCAAUCCGCCGUCUUCUUAAAGAGCUUCAGCUUCCUCACCUCAGUCCCUUUUCCCUAAUCCCAAUUCCAAAUCAAACCCAUUUGGGUUGCUAACUCCAGCCGCUUCUUUUCUCUAUUGUCAUCAUCCACUGAUUGGAAGUGGAUUGUGCAGCCGUGCAGCUAGCGGAAGGUGGAUCUUGGAAGCAGGUGCAGCCGUGUCGCGUGCAGAAGGUUUUAAGGAAGUUUGAUAGUUUUAAGGCAGCUAUAUAUUGCACAGUCUGAGGACGAAGAAGAAGAAGAAUUACAAAAAGAAGUAAACUUUGACAAAUACUGUGUAGACACAAGGAGCCAUAUUUAUGCUUCCUAUAAUUCUGAUUAAAAAAAAAUACUAGAAAUUUUUCUGCAGACACAAGGAGCAUGAGAGGGGUGACUUUAUUAGCAAUUGUUGUGAGGUGGAAGUAACUGGUUUUUGGCCUUUUGGUGGAUUUUCUUUGUAUUAAAAAUUGGAAAGGGAAGACGCAAAAACUUGGGAAGAUGCAUGUAUCUACUUAAUCUCUUCUUCAAUGGUGGACCCUGGCUGGUGGGCGAGAUUUUCUUGCAUUUUUUUUAAUUUUGACCAUGCUGUGUUAGUUUAUUGUUGUUAGGUCCUUUAAUUUAUUAAAAUUAGGCAAUUUGCAACC